RNAcentral lists this long non-coding RNA (200 nucleotides) under Lathyrus oleraceus (garden pea). RNAcentral describes it as "Pisum sativum (pea) long non-coding RNA (PSAT_LNC007767)". The record is from RNAcentral. Lineage: Eukaryota; Viridiplantae; Streptophyta; Magnoliopsida; Fabales; Fabaceae.
AAAGAGUACAAGAUACAAACAAGCACACCAAAAGUGAAUUAAAACAACAAACGAAAGCAAAUAAAAAACAAAUAAGAGAAAAGAAUCAACACUAAAACCUUGAAAAGCAAAAUCACAUGACAACCCCUGGUCGAUGAAAAAGUCCACCUGAAACACUAGGCACGCCACCUCUAGAAAGAGCAGGCUAAAGAGAGGUAAGC